RNAcentral lists this ribosomal RNA (550 nucleotides) under uncultured bacterium. Its description in RNAcentral is "bacterial SSU rRNA". It matches the Rfam family "Bacterial small subunit ribosomal RNA", at positions 355 to 896 of the family's 1533-position model. The record is from RNAcentral.
UAGGGAAUCUUCCACAAUGGGCGCAAGCCUGAUGGAGCAACACCGCGUGAGUGAAGAAGGGUUUCGGCUCGUAAAGCUCUGUUGUUAAAGAAGAACANCUAUGAGAGUAACUGUUCAUACGUUGACGGUAUUUAACCAGAAAGUCACGGCUAAAUACGUGCCAGCAGCCGCGGUAAUACGUAGGUUGCAAGCGUUAUCCGGAUUUAUUGGGCGUAAAGAGAGUGCAGGCGGUUUUCUAAGUCUGAUGUGAAAGCCUUCGGCUUAACCGGAGAAGUGCAUCGGAAACUGGAUAACUUGAGUGCAGAAGAGGGUAGUGGAACUCCAUGUGUAGCGGUGGAAUGCGUAGAUAUAUGGAAGAACACCAGUGGCGAAGGCGGCUACCUGGUCUGCAACUGACGCUGAGACUCGAAAGCAUGGGUAGCGAACAGGAUUAGAUACCCUGGUAGUCCAUGCCGUAAACGAUGAGUGCUAGGUGUUGGAGGGUUUCCGCCCUUCAGUGCCGGAGCUAACGCAUUAAGCACUCCGCCUGGGGAGUACGACCGCAAGGUUG